RNAcentral lists this small nucleolar RNA (59 nucleotides) under Urocitellus parryii (Arctic ground squirrel). Its description in RNAcentral is "Small nucleolar RNA SNORD103/SNORD85 (ENSUPAG00010019985.1)". It matches the Rfam family "Small nucleolar RNA SNORD103/SNORD85". From Rfam's summary of the family: This family includes the snoRNAs SNORD103 (U103) and SNORD85 (HBII-251) . Lineage: Eukaryota; Metazoa; Chordata; Mammalia; Rodentia; Sciuridae. The record is from Rfam by way of RNAcentral.
UCUGGCAAGGCUGAUAUUUACUUGCCCUCACUUAGACCAUAGCAUUAUUCUGAGCCAGU